This 25-nucleotide non-coding RNA is filed under the name Mus musculus (house mouse). Lineage: Eukaryota; Metazoa; Chordata; Mammalia; Rodentia; Muridae. The record is from RNAcentral.
UGCCCAACUUGCUGUGAGUCUUAUC